AUGAACGCUAGCGACAGGCCUAACACAUGCAAGUCGAGGGGCAGCACAAGGAGCAAUCUGAGGUGGCGACCGGCGCACGGGUGAGUAACACGUAUGCAACCUGCCUGUAAGCGGGGAAUAACCCGUUGAAAGACGGACUAAUACCGCAUAAUACUAAAUUACUGCAUGGUAAUUUAUUUAAACAUUUAUGGCUUACAGAUGGGCAUGCGCAUGAUUAGCUAGUUGGAGAGGUAACGGCUCCCCAAGGCAACGAUCAUUAGGGGUUCUGAGAGGAAGGUCCCCCACACUGGUACUGAGACACGGACCAGACUCCUACGGGAGGCAGCAGUGAGGAAUAUUGGUCAAUGGACGAGAGUCUGAACCAGCCAAGUCGCGUGCAGGAAGAAUGUCCUAUUGGAUUGUAAACUGUCUUUUGCGAAGGGGAAAUAAAGUGCAUCACGUGUGAUGUUUUGUAUGUACUCUGCGAAUAAGGAUCGGCUAACUCCGUGCCAGCAGCAGC
Molecule: ribosomal RNA, 499 nt
Filed under: uncultured bacterium
Lineage: Bacteria
Description: bacterial SSU rRNA
Rfam family: Bacterial small subunit ribosomal RNA
Source: RNAcentral